CCUACGGGGGGCAGCAGUAGGGAAUCUUUCACAAUGGGCGAAAGCCUGAUGGAGCAACGCCGCGUGCAGGAUGAAGGCCUUCGGGUUGUAAACUGCUUUUAUAAGCGAGAAAUAUGAUGGUAACUUAUGAAUAAGGAUCGGCUAACUACGUGCCAGCAGCCGCGGUCAUACGUAGGAUCCGAGCAUUAUCCGGAGUGACUGGGUGUAAAGAGUUGCGUAGGUGGCAUAAUAAGUAGCUAGUGAAAUCUGGUGGCUCAACCAUUCAGACUAUUAGCUAAACUGUUAAGCUCGAGACCGUUAGGGGUAACUGGAAUGUCUAGUGUAGGGGUGAAAUCCGUAGAUAUUAGAAGGAACACCAAUAGCGUAGGCAGGUUGCUGGGACGGUUCUGACACUAAGGCACGAAAGCGUAGGGAGCAAACGGGAUUAGAUACCCGAGUAGUC
RNAcentral lists this ribosomal RNA (442 nucleotides) under uncultured bacterium. Its description in RNAcentral is "partial 16S ribosomal RNA". It matches the Rfam family "Bacterial small subunit ribosomal RNA", at positions 338 to 795 of the family's 1533-position model. The record is from RNAcentral.